UUUGAUUCACCCCAUCCAUCUUCUAACAAAUCAUGCGGCUAACAUCCGGCGUAAUGGAUGGUCCAAGCAUGGCGAGGGGAGCAGAGCUCCGUUCUUCACCACAUUCAGAUACAACCAUAUCCGUAGGGAAAUAAGGGAUCCCCAUUGUCUGCUUAUUGCGGGUUCUGGCGAGCAGGAGCUGGCCUCGAAGGCAGUCUGCCAGCGAAGUCCAGCACUCAGAUCUCAAUACUAUGGACUUUAACUUCCCAACACAGUAAAGCCAUUGUCAUAUUAGAUCAAGUCUGUUCCGAAAAACUGUCCUGAUCC
This 306-nucleotide small RNA is filed under the name Histoplasma capsulatum var. duboisii H88. RNAcentral's name for it is "Histoplasma capsulatum H88 hypothetical RNA". The record is from RNAcentral. Lineage: Eukaryota; Fungi; Ascomycota; Eurotiomycetes; Onygenales; Ajellomycetaceae.